AAAAAUGUAGCAUAAACCUAAUGCACUUCACUUACACUGAAGUCAUGCUCACGUCAUGAGCCAUUUUUA
This 69-nucleotide transfer RNA is filed under the name Littoraria ardouiniana. Its description in RNAcentral is "tRNA-Val". Lineage: Eukaryota; Metazoa; Mollusca; Gastropoda; Littorinimorpha; Littorinidae. The record is from RNAcentral.